GUUUGGUACAUUACUGAUGUGGAAUCAAUUAAUUAAUUGAUUAUCUUGCGUAUCUGCCCCCGGCCAAAUAAAAUAAUGCGUGCACGCUCCUGUAGUAUUUCACACCAGACACAGGUUUCGGGUUAAUGAAAAACUUGAGGAAGAGUUUAUUCCAGGGGGAUGGGAUGCCCCUUAUAAAGCAGAAUUACAUCAUAUGCAUUGUCAGAGAUAAC
This is a non-coding RNA of Pelobates cultripes (western spadefoot toad), 212 nucleotides long. NCBI's taxonomy places the organism in Eukaryota, Metazoa, Chordata, Amphibia, Anura, Pelobatidae. The record is from the annotation of a GenBank genome assembly.